AAGGGUAGAGCUCAGUGGUAGAGCACAUGCUUAGCAUGCACAAGGUUCUAGGUUCAAUCCCCAGUACCUCCA
RNAcentral lists this transfer RNA (72 nucleotides) under Camelus bactrianus (Bactrian camel). It matches the Rfam family "tRNA". From Rfam's summary of the family: Transfer RNA (tRNA) molecules are approximately 80 nucleotides in length. RNAcentral also lists the same sequence under 2 other names. The record is from Rfam by way of RNAcentral. Lineage: Eukaryota; Metazoa; Chordata; Mammalia; Artiodactyla; Camelidae.